RNAcentral lists this ribosomal RNA (439 nucleotides) under uncultured bacterium. Its description in RNAcentral is "partial 16S ribosomal RNA". It matches the Rfam family "Bacterial small subunit ribosomal RNA", at positions 339 to 795 of the family's 1533-position model. The record is from RNAcentral.
CUACGGGCCGCUCCAGUGGGGAAUAUUGGGCAAUGGGCGAAAGCCUGACCCAGCAACGCCGCGUGAAGGAAGAAGGCUUUCGGGUCGUAAACUUCUAUCCCAGAUGAAGAUCAUGACGGUAAUCUGGAAGGAAGCCCCGGCUAACUACGUGCCAGCAGCCGCGGUAAUACGUAGGGGGCAAGCGUUGUCCGGAAUGAUUGGGCGUAAAGGGCGCGUAGGCGGCCUUUUAAGUCCGAUGUGAAAGUCCUGCUUUUAAGGUGGGAAUUGCAUUAGAAACUGGAAGGCUUGAGUGCAGGAGAGGUAAGUGGAAUUCCCGGUGUAGCGGUGAAAUGCGUAGAGAUCGGGAGGAACACCAGUGGCGAAGGCGACUUACUGGACUGUAACUGACGCUGAGGCGCGAAAGUGUGGGGAGCAAACAGGAUUAGAUACCCUCGUAGUC